Molecule: ribosomal RNA, 474 nt
Filed under: uncultured bacterium
Lineage: Bacteria
Description: bacterial SSU rRNA
Rfam family: Bacterial small subunit ribosomal RNA
Source: RNAcentral
GGCCAGACUCCUACGGGAGGCAGCAGUGGGGAAUCUUCCGCAAUGGGCGCAAGCCUGACGGAGCAAUGCCGCGUGAACGAAGAAGGUCUUCGGAUUGUAAAGUUCUGUCCUUAUCGAAGAGAGGGUAUAGAGUGAAAAAUGAUAUACUAGGACGGUAGAUGAGGAGGAAGCCCCGGCUAACUACGUGCCAGCAGCCGCGGUAAUACGUAGGGGGCGAGCGUUGUCCGGAUUUAUUGGGUUUAAAGGGUGCGUAGGCGGACGCUUAAGUCAGCGGUAAAAUUGCGGGGCUCAACCUCGUCGAGCCGUUGAAACUGGGUGCCUUGAGUGGGCGAGAAGUACGCGGAAUGCGUGGUGUAGCGGUGAAAUGCAUAGAUAUCACGCAGAACUCCGAUUGCGAAGGCAGCGUACCGGCGCCCAACUGACGCUGAAGCACGAAGGCGUGGGUAUCGAACAGGAUUAGAUACCCCCGUAACU